CAGGGACGUUUAAUAUUUGUUUGUGGUGAAAACACUUAAAAAAUCUUUUUGUCUGUUUUUUGGAGAAAUAUACAGUCUAUGUAUAGUAGUUACCGUACUGUGCAAUGAACACAGAGCUUCUUGCUCUUAUCGAACUGUAGCUUGUUAUCCAUUAGUCAGUCCUUAUUUUCUCCUUUCCAGUACUCUCCCGGUGUCUGGCCAUCACCAUGGGGCUCUCGACUUCUAAGAGACCAACUUGUUGAGGUGCGGCUUAUGGGUGAGAUCCUGCAGUACUUGUCUUUCGGUGCCUGGCUCACUUCACUGUACACAGCGGCCUCCAGUUCCAGCCGUGUUGUUGUAAAUAACAAGGUUGCAUUCUUUUUUUUUUUUAAGAUUUAUUUUAUUUAUUUGAAAGACAGAGUUACAGAGAGAGGUAGAGACAGAGAGAGAGGUCUUCCAUCCACUGGUUCACUCCCCAACUGGCCGCAACAGCAGGAGCAGCGCUGAUCCGAAGCCGGGAGCCAGGAGCUUCCUCCAGGUCUCCCACAUGAGUGCAGGGGCCCAAGGACUUGUGCUAUCUUGUACUGCUUUCCCAGGCCAUGGCAGAGAGCUGGAUUGGAAGAGGAGCCGCCUGGACUAGAACCGGCGCCCAUAGGGGAUGCCGGCGCUUCAGGCCAGGGCUUUAACCCUUUGUACCACAGUGCUGGCCAAAGGUUGUAUUCUUUUUUAUUGCCCAAUAGUAAUCCAUUGUUGACAUGUACUGUAUAUUCUCUCUCUUUCUUUCUUCUUCCUUCCUUCCUUCCUUCCUUCCUUCCUUCCUUCCUUCCUUCCUUCCUUCCUUCUUUCCUCUUAUUUGAAAGGCAGAAUCACAGAAAGAGAAAGAGAGAGAUCUAUUUAAAUGCAUUCCCACAAGUUUGAGCUGUGUUCAUCCUGGUGUCCGAGUUCACUGCUUUCUAGCACUUGGAACAGUUGAACAUACAAACCCUAUCCUAGCCCACUGCCUGCCAGCACUUGUUAGCACUUUCCUCUCCAGCUCUCCAUUCUUUCUCGAAUGCAGCAGAUAAAACACGAAAAAUGAUAUAUUUAUAGUGUUUGGCUCACAGGCCUGGGCACAAAGCAAGCUCUUUUUUUUUUUUUUUUCAAUUCAUGUUAUUUAUUUGAAAGGCAGGCUGACAGAGAGAAAGGGAGAGGUGGAGAUGUCCCCUGUGCUGCUGGGGCAGCCGGGACUGGAACUGGUGUUGUGCUAUGGCAUGCCAGCAUUGCAGCAGGUGGUCUAACUCACUGCCCCACAACGCCGGCCCCACAAAACGAGUUCUUAAUACAUGUGAAUUAUUUAAAUAUGAUCGUUAUCCAAAAGGACCGGUAAAGUCAGAGCACCCCAGGUACUCACAGGUGGGGACGGCCAAGGAGCAAGAAUUCACAGCUUGCUCACCCAUCGUCUCACACAAAAUCCUACAUGGCUUCUAACCAAGGGCGAGGCUGCCAGGCCCAGCCUCUUCCUCGGAAUCCCAUUGUCCUUACAAGCUGCGCUCCGUGUCUCGGGGGUGAGGUGGAAACAAGAAGGCCCACCGCCAGGAAGGAGUGUGUGAUCCUCUAUGUCAUUGACUUAACUGGAUUCACUCAGGGGCGAAGGAAGCUGGGUUUCGGUGGCAGGGGAGGGCGAGGCUCCUGGUUCCGGGCUUGCUCUCAGGAAGAGUUCUGGGCUCUUCCUGUUUCAGUUUGGUCAUCUUUGUCCCGCACUCCAAUAUUUCCCUGACUUUCUUUUGAGCAUUGGCAAGAAAGCAGCCUACGGAGAUUCAACUGCCCCCAGCAUGUCUUGCACCGGAAGCCUUCAUUUUUAUGCACACGGGUUUUAGGGGUAAACGGGUGGCUCCCAGGUUGCUGCUCAGAGUUGCUCUCCUGUCUCCUGUACGUGAAGAGCGUGCCUCCCGACAGCCUUCUCCUGACACUGUCCACCCGCUCUCUGCCCACAUGCAGCAGAGUGCGGCGCUGUUUACCGGACGCCUUGCUGCCGAGUGCUGAUCUCAGGGUAUUUCGUUGUUGAAUCUAUGAUCAUCCCCAUGAGGGAGACACACUCUUCCACCCAUUUCAUGGAGGGCAAGAUUGAGGCACAGUGUUUAGCCAAUCACUCGCCUAAGAGCACACAGGAAAGACGUGGUGGAUUUGAACGCAGUCUGGCUGGAGAAUCUACAUGCUUAAGUACUCCAUCUCCUAUCUCUGAAGCCAGCGGGAGGAGGCUGCAGGUGGAGGUUUCUGGGGGCAAAGUAACACUGCCUUUAAUAUGCAUUUGGAAUCAUCACAGGUUCUGGAGCCGCAACGCACAGCAGCCUCUGUGCAGACAGAACAGCUCCCCAGCCUCUUUCCAAAACAUCUAUGCCACGGUAAGGUGUGUUGGGGUGCACGGUGACAGUGUUAACUGUCAGGAAAAGUGGGGAAGGUGGGGGCCUCUUAAGGCACACGUCACCAGCCUAGCCCUGCAAGGCUGGGGUGACUUGGACACCACCUUCCUGAACGCCACCAUCAUCUUCUGUGUCUCUCUGCCUGUGAUUUAUUGAUGACUCCAAAGAGUUUUAGAAUUGGCGUUCAGAUAAACCAAGAAAAGCAAGCUAGAAUCAUCUGCGCAUCUCUUCUCGCGUGCAAAGCCCUGAUGGCUAUUUUGGGAACCUCAGGAGAUGACUCGGCAAGUCAGAAGGAAAGGGAAUGGCACGCAGCCCGGAGGGUGCACUGUCACCACGCCUCCUGCCACUCAGCCCUUCACUUUAGAAAGCUGCAGCAGGGCACACGUGGGGCUUACAGGGUCUGGCCCUCAUCAGCUUUUGUCUGAACAGGUGCCUGUGGUGAAAUUCCUCCCUAGGAAAAAGCCUUUUUUCUGUAGGAGGCCACAUUCCAAGUGGCAGGUAGAGAGAGUUGCCGGUUUCCUAAGUUGGGAUGUUUGCCGGGGAAAAUAACUUUGUGAUGUGACACUUUGUGCUACGGUCUAAUGGAGUGUUUUUUUUCUCUCUCUCUCUCAUUAGAUAGAUCAUUAGAUCGCUAGAUUUCCUUUCAGAAUUCCUGCCAAAUAGAAAGAAAUGCUGUUUGUGUUUUCCCAAGCAGCGCAGAGCCCCACUUAGACUGGUUUCUUCCAAGUCCCUUUAAGCUGCUCUCUCAGAGUUUGCAGCCAAACAGGCUGACUCCGGAGAGCCACCAUAGCCGAGGGAAGAUGCCCCUCCGAGCACUUUUCUUGGCACACGUGGAGAGGAUUAUGCGUGUAUCCUUCCAUGGCUAACUCAGUCUCAGAAUAUUGCAGUGAGAUUUAAAGACUCAAGACCAGGGAAAUAACUUGCUCUGGCUUUUAAUCCGUUUAUAUUCUAAUUUCCUUUCAGCAGUCAAGGCAGGUCAAUGCAUUUUCAUUAGCAAUAAAGAAGACUAACCAACAAGGCAGUGACCAAUAUUUGACUUAGAUUUAAAAGUAAACUAGACUGUUGAAAGAAAGCCGAGAUGGAAAAUACAUGGUUUCAGGUUGAAUGCUUUAGACAGGGCACACAUUAAACUGCAAGAAUAAUAUGACGACCAUGUAAUCAAUUCUAGCAAAGCCUGCGCUAAUACAAUUAAGAUUAUAAAAAGUGGCUUAAUCAACCUGUAGCCACCCCCGUGUCUAUGUGGAAUUAACUCAAAUUGAGCUAAGGCUUUCUCAUGCUUGAAGACGGCAGGUGGCAGAGGCCUCCCUCUGUCAUGGAUUAGGGAGGAAUUUUCGUCAUCCCAGUUCCCCACCCAGGGUACCCCUCCUGUGGCUUACAUCCUGUUCUUCACCAGCAACAGCUUUGGUUCAGGGUCUGGCAAAUGGGUGUUCUCCACUCAGGCUUUAUUAAUUUAUUCUUUGAAAGACAGUCGCAAGUUCCUCUUACAAACAGGUUGAAUUUAAAAUUGGUUUUAGGCAAUUUGAAAAAAUUUUCCAGUCAAAGCUCUGUUGCUGGUUAGCCAGCCCCCUGCAUCCUUACUGAAGGCCUUAACCCUGCUUCCUGGGGUGUAAACAAAGGAGAAAGGGGAGGAUGAGAGAGGGCGGUGCCCUCCUGGGCUGGCCAGUCACUACAGGCCCAGGGAACGCGUGCCCCAUGGUAGCUUUAUUUAUUAUUUUUAAGAUUUAUUUUAUUUUUUCAGAAGACAGAGUUACAGAGAGAGGUAGGGACAGAGAGGUCUGCCAUUUUCUGGUGCCUUCCCAAAUGGCCACAAUGGCCAGGGCUGAGCUGAUCCAAUCUGAUUCAAAGCCAGGAGCCAGGAGCUCCUUCUAGGUCUCCCAUUUGGGUGCAAGGGCCCAAGCAGUUGGGCCAUCCUCUGCUGCUUUCCCAGGUGCAUUGGCAGGGAGCUGGAUUGGAAGUGGAGCAGCUGGGCCUCAAACUGGUGUCCUUAUGGGAUGCCGGUGCUGCAGGCUGGGCUUUAACCCGCUGUGCCACAGUGCUGCUGCCCUGCACCUCUACACCCUCCACCUCCAGCCAUGGGGGCUCUAGAACUCCUGCUCCUCCUUGCCUGCUCAUUUCCCAACUGAGUGCACGUGUGUGUGUGUGAGUGUGUGUGUGUGUGUGUGUGUGUGUGUGUGUAGCGGAGAGGGGUAAUUGCUGGGGAAAGCCAGGUAAAGUUAAGAAAGGUGGUUUUCCAAAUGUUGUAUCUGGGAUACGGAAUGUUAUACAAAAUCCUUGCAUAUCAUAUAGAUACUAGUGUGGUCAUUCUGAUUGGAUGGGAGGGGAGUGAGCGGAGAGCAGGCCUGCACGUUUGACCUCCUCCCCCCCUCCAGGGUACCCCCACUGAGCUGGAUGUGCUUGAUAACAGCUGUAUCCCUUCCCACACAGAACCUUAUGACUCCACGAAACGAGCUGGAUCAGGAUACCUGUCUAGCUUUUGUUCCAUAUAAUAUGCUACAUAUUAUAUUAGUGAAUAUUAUUGACAUGUCUGUCCAUUUAUUGCUACUCAGAAAUAGCCUAAGGCGAACUUCUUCAGAGUUCUGAGUGCUCGAAGGCCCAGAACCAGUCAUACAUUAGUGCAGCUAUUCACUUGGUGAACAUCUACUGCAUACGUACUCUGUGCCAGGCCCAUACUACUCAGGUGGGAUGCAAAGAUCCUCAAGGACUUCUGCCUACCGUGGUGAGACAGAGAGUAACCGUGUGGAGCAGUAAGAGCUAGAGCAGAGGAAGCACUCAUUCUACAGGUAGACCCAAGAGGCGUGAUUUUGAUCCAAGGAAGGCCUGCCACAGUGGGAUGAUGGAAGCUUGAAGAAUGAGGGUGAAGAAGCAUCUGUCAAGCAGGCAACACAGCCCUUACAGAGGCAGGCACCCCUACUGCUGCUGCUGCUGCUGGUGGUGGUGGUGAGGAACUCACCCACGGUGGGGGAGAUUUGCAAGUGGCUUGGUAAGAAGGAGGGAAAGGACAUGGGGAGUUAGAGAGUGGAUGGAUAAGAAUGCAGAGCCCAGAUCUUGAAGAUCCUCUUUUAAGAUGCUAUGAGGGUUGGAUUUUAUCCUAAAUGGCAUGGGAGUCUUUGAAGGAUCUUAAACAGGGACAGGUCCUCAGAGUGAGAGGUGCACUAGAGACAGGGCCAGGGCCAGGGCCUCAAGUUGAGGUAAUUUUGCUUAAAUUUGAAAAAAAGGAGACCCUCUAAAGGGACACAGCUUGGAGCCAGGACGAAAGCUCUGAAGGAUGCAGGUGGAUUGGAUUUGUCUCCCACCCAGCCAGGUGCCUUUUUGUGUAGUAUGCAAAUUCCACAGGGUGAGGCAGCACCUCUAGACAGAAGAAUAGUUUGAGAUACUUUUUCCAGAACAAUAUAACAGGGCUUUAAAAAAAUAAAGCUAUGCCCUAAAGGGGAGUUAGGAAAGAGAAAUAUGAAGUCUUGGUUAUGAGUUGAGAAAGAAGUAGUUGUAGAAAUGGGUGACACGCAGGUAUUGGACUUGUUUGGGUGGGCAGCAGUCUCAGUUCACAAGGAAAAAUCCAGAAGGAGGAUCAACUUUGCAGAAAAGUUAAUACUCUCUGGUUUGGAUGUGUUGGCUUUGUAGUGCCGUGGGAAUCUGGGUGGAAACAGCUAAUGCAUUGUCAAAUAUGUCGUUCGAAGUAUAGUUAAGACAUGUCAUGUCGACUACCAAUACACAUUUGGUUGUCAUUGCUACACGGCAGAGCUGAGGCCGUGGGAGUGAAGACCACCCAGGAUAAUGCUAGAGCGGAAAAGGUGAGCAUUUCUGGGGGAUUCUCUCAAAGGUUCUCAAAAAUUGAAAUCCAUUUUUUUUUAUUCUUUUGUUGACACUAUCUGAAACAAAUCAUGGGUGGCACAAAUGGCCAACUACAGUUCCUCCUUCUUCCCUUCCCUUCCCUUCCCUUCCCUUCCCUUCCCUUUCCUUUCCUUUCCUAGCAGCAGUUCCUAGCAGCCUGGUAUUAAGCUUUCUUACAGAAGAACGAUAGAUUUUCCCAUCAAAGCCUGUUUAAAUAUUUGCUGUCAGAGUGCAGGGUGCCAGACACUUAUAAAUAGUUUCUGGGAAUGUACAUUUUCUCUUUAAAUUUGAUCUGUGAUUAUAAGAAAGUGAACUUAAGGACUUUGCCAUUAGGCAUCUCAGGAGCUGCUGUGUGUCUCUGGUCAAACCUCAGUUUGCAAUUGCACAGAAGGAAACUGAAGUAACCAACUGGCCAAAAAGUGAAGCAUGACCAUGCAUUGCAGAAUAUCCAGGCAAGUAGGGUUUUAAAAACAACCGCAGUUUCUAUCACCACCAAUUAGAAUGAAUGCAAGGAGGCAGCUGAGCCUGGAAAGGAAACAUUGUCUGGAUUUGCAGCUUUGAUUGCGAUGCCGCCUCUUCUAUCCACCUGCUAAUUCAGAACUCUGUGGAGCAGAACCACAUGCAAAUGCCCUCUUAAGCAAGGUGCCUGGAAGUGUCAACCACCAAGGACAGACGGUGAAGACCUUGUUAUAAUGAUAUUUUCAAGUUCGAAAUUAGGCUCCUUAUGGAUGCAAAAGCAUGAAGGGAGGUAUCUUCAGAGCCUCGGCUUGUUCCAGCCUCAAAGAAAUCAAAAAGGGGGCCAGUGCUGUGGUGUAGCGGAUAAAGCUGCCACCUGCCAUGCUGGCAUGUCAUAUGGGCUCCGGUUCAAGACCUGACUGCUCUACUUCUGAUCCAGCUCUCUGCUAUGGCCUGGGAAAGCAGUGGAGGAUGGCCCAAGUCCUUGGGUCCCUGCACCCACGUGAGAGACCCAGAAGAAGCUCAUGGCUCCUGGAUUCCAACUGGUGCAGCUCCGGCCAUUGUGGCCAAUUGGGGAGUGAACCAGUGGAUGGAAGACCUCCCUUUCUCUCUCUUUCCUUCUCUCUCUGUGUGACUCUGCAUUUCAAAUAAAUAAAUUAAUUUUUAAAAAAAGGAAAGAAAAAUGCCAGGCUCUAAGAGCUCAAUACACAAUAAUCAGCAAAAUACAGCCUCUUCUCUUGUUGGAGAGACAAAACUGUAAACUAAUAAUUGCCCCUGGUUGAAAAGUACAAUACUGAGCAUAUACAGCAGGUGCAUCAUUGGGCCCCAGGGGCAGGGGAUGAACUCAAGCUAUGCAAUUAGAAUACACUUGACUGAGGCUUCCCAAGCAGAAUUAUUCCUGUUGUUCGUUUGUUUUUACGGUGCUCAAUUGAUAAAUGUGUGAUAGAGGAGAAUCACUCUUAAAAGCAAUCUCUCAAGUACCAAAGUGUAGCACCAUAUUCUGGAAAGUAGGACAGCCUGUAAUCACUCCUCCAGCCACAUCACUUGCUGCAACUGCAAAACAAGAGCUGCUUAUUGCAAAUGUCUAUUCUGUACCUUUGCUGAAGAAUCGAUGUGACCUGCUUGCAGAAAUUCUCUCCAUUUUGAGAACACUCCUUUAAGUUCUUGUAUACUUUAUUAUACUGAAAAACAACAACAACAAGAAAAAAGAAGCAAUGAGCAGGAAGAUUAUGAUAGGCAUCUCUACAUUCAGAAUGCUGCAGGAAUGACCACUGCCUACAUCAAUGACCACGCAGCUACAGGGAUGCAGCCUUUUUGCUUGAGUUCUCCAGUUAUGGAUGCAGUCUCUUCUUCCUGGAUAUAAAAGAUCCUCCAGGAAUUGUCAAAAAUAGAGCUGGUUUGUGUGCUUCUUCCAUAGGCCAAAUGCAAGUGGCUCAGCAGGGAGUGCAUUUGGGGUCUGGUUUCUUGGCACCCAGAUAGUUGCUUCAGAGAGGUUAACAGUACAUCCUGAAGGACACCACCUAACCACUUUGUGCCUUGACUCAGACACCCUAAGACAAUAUUUCUGGGGCUCCAGAUAAACCACGGGCCACUAAGGUGAGCUCUUCUUGGCUUAGUUACAAAAUUGUAAGUGAAUAACUUAUCAAUAAAAUUUUGCCCUGGUCCCCCCUGUGCCUCAUUUAAAUCCAAUAAUCAGAAUCUUAUAAUAAUAAAUUGAACCAAGUAUUGUAUGUAAGCAAACCUUUAUAAAUUCAUUCAUAUAUGAUUUAAAAAGUAAAAAGUUUGUCGUUUGAUUUCUACCUCCACCGUAUCAUUCUGAAGAUUAUAAUUGUAAAUUUAGACAUUGAUGACCACAGAUUUUCAAGUGCCCACGUGGACAGGGCUAAUGUCAGUUGAUUCUGCAGCUUUUUCCUGACACGGAGCAGGUGAACUAGAUGAUGGAGCAUCCCCCACACACAUUCUCAUCAUUUCCAAUUGGGAGGUGCAACACAGAUUGCAUUUUUCAAAAUGAUAUUUUACUAUGUAAAAGGACUCAAAUCCAUGGAGCGAAUGCCGCGUUGGCUCUUUGUGCAAAGAGUCAACCUCUACGAGUGCUUCAAUGUCUGUGGCAUUCCAUUGGAGACCAUGCUGAGAAAGGAAAAGGGAAGGGCACUCACACUUACUGAGUCCCCACUGUGUGCCAGGCACAUUCACAUACAGGAACACCCCCCCACCCACAGGAAGCCUGCUGUAGCACUGUGUGUAUGGUGCUAGCAUAGUAGUAAACAGAGAACCUGGGACCGCAGAGCAGGAUGAAUCUAAAGACGUGACUCGAGCCAGGUCCCUACAUUUGGGGUUGGAACAAUAAACUCCUCCAUCUUCAUACAGCGACUUAUCUGUCCUCCUGAUGUAAUAAAGAAAGCUGUGAUAUUUGGCAACCAAGCUUUUCUAAUUUAUAUUCCCCAUAAAAUUAACUUACCUUCUAGGACUGAUAUAAAGCUAUUAAGACCUCCUUCCUCUCCUUGCAGGUACACUGGGGGAAAUGUUUCACUUUUUUUUCCAACUUAAUAUUUUAUUUAUUAUUUUGAGAUGGCAUAUUUUUAGUUUACAUUACAGCCAAAGGUUUAAUGCUUCACUAAAUAAAGAGUUCAACAAAUAAGCAGCAAAGAGACCGUAGUUCAACAGAAAAAUAGGCAAGGGCUAUAAACAACAAUCAAACGCAAAGAUGUUCAACUUCACUCGUAUAAAGUAAACGUUAAAAUAAACAUGAAAUCAUUAAAACUGUAGUAGUAUAUAAUUUUUUAACCAUUUGGUACAGAUUUAAAACCAAGUUCAAGCAAAUGCUGUAUUUGCAGUAAAACU
This is a non-coding RNA of Oryctolagus cuniculus (rabbit), 9503 nucleotides long. NCBI's taxonomy places the organism in Eukaryota, Metazoa, Chordata, Mammalia, Lagomorpha, Leporidae. The record is from RefSeq and is a predicted model, not a curated record.